This 301-nucleotide ribosomal RNA is filed under the name uncultured bacterium. RNAcentral describes it as "partial 16S ribosomal RNA". It matches the Rfam family "Bacterial small subunit ribosomal RNA", at positions 509 to 807 of the family's 1533-position model. The record is from RNAcentral.
CAGCCGCCGCGGGAAAACAGAGGGUGCAAGCGUUAAUCGGAAUUACUGGGCGUAAAGCGCGCGUAGGUGGUUUGUUAAGUUGGAUGUGAAAUCCCCGGGCUCAACCUGGGAACUGCAUCCAAAACUGGCAAGCUAGAGUAUGGUAGAGGGUGGUGGAAUUUCCUGUGUAGCGGUGAAAUGCGUAGAUAUAGGAAGGAACACCAGUGGCGAAGGCGACCACCUGGACUGAUACUGACACUGAGGUGCGAAAGCGUGGGGAGCAAACAGGAUUAGAUACCCCAGUAGUCCCUGUCUCUUAUAC